RNAcentral lists this small nuclear RNA (184 nucleotides) under Erinaceus europaeus (western European hedgehog). Its description in RNAcentral is "7SK RNA". It matches the Rfam family "7SK RNA". Rfam says of the family: 7SK was discovered as an abundant small nuclear RNA in the mid-70s but a possible function has only recently been suggested. Two independent studies have found that 7SK RNA binds the CDK9/cyclin T complex (known as elongation factor P-TEFb). P-TEFb activates transcription by phosphorylating the C-terminal domain of RNA polymerase II. The record is from Rfam by way of RNAcentral. Lineage: Eukaryota; Metazoa; Chordata; Mammalia; Eulipotyphla; Erinaceidae.
GGAUGUGAGGGUGAUCUGGCUGCGACAUCUGUCACCCCAUUGAUCACCAGGGUUGACUUGGCUGAUCUGGCUGGCUAGGCGGGUGUCCCCUUCCUCACUCACAGCUCCAUGUGUGUCCCUCCCAAAGCUGCGCGCUCGGUCGAAGAGGACGGCCUUCCCCGAAUAGAGACGGGCCCUGCUAGAA